CCAUUUGCAAGAAUUGGCGCGCGUGCUGCGUCUGCCGGGCAGUGCGCUGGCGGUUUUGCGCGAAGUGCGUGAGAAAGUCGAGCAGGCCAUCGCCAAGCAGGAAGAAAUUCAGGA
RNAcentral lists this unclassified non-coding RNA (114 nucleotides) under uncultured fungus. RNAcentral's name for it is "sequence contains ITS1". The record is from RNAcentral. Lineage: Eukaryota; Fungi.